RNAcentral lists this long non-coding RNA (485 nucleotides) under Rattus norvegicus (Norway rat). RNAcentral describes it as "long non-coding RNA NONRATT032795". The record is from RNAcentral. Lineage: Eukaryota; Metazoa; Chordata; Mammalia; Rodentia; Muridae.
GUGGAGCCUCUCAGAGGACAGCUGUGCUAGAUUCCUGUCUGUAAGCCUAACAGAAUCACAGUAGUGUCAGGAACUGGUUCUUGCCCGUGGGAUGGAGCUAAAGUUGGGCCAGUCUUCACUGGUUGGCUAUUCCCUCUGUCUUUGCUCCAUCUUUGUCCCUGCACCAAGGAAAACUAUUUUAAGAUCAACUCCAUUUGAAAAAAGUGAACAAGAGUGGGACCAGCAAACAGCUCAGCAGCCAGACCGGAUGCUUGCCCACUCGGAGACCCCAGUCUCAUCUGUCUAUAACAUCUCCACACUAAUACGUGACUUCCAGAGACUCCGGGUGAGGCAUUGGAGACCAGCCAGAAGCCCUUUUCAAAGACCUUGACUUUCACGUGACCUUUUCACCCUCGAUGGACAGAACAGACGAGUGACUGGCUUCGCUGCAACAGGACAGCGUAUGUAGUGGAGGCUCAAUUACUGGGAGUCCGCAGCCUGCUGGA